RNAcentral lists this non-coding RNA (28 nucleotides) under Homo sapiens (human). The record is from RNAcentral. Lineage: Eukaryota; Metazoa; Chordata; Mammalia; Primates; Hominidae.
GGUGAAGGUGCUUGAAGGAGCGCAAAAU